GAAAUGCGAUAAGUAGUGUGAAUUGCAGAAUUCAGUGAAUCAUCGAAUCUUUGAACGCACAUUGCACUUCCUGGAAUUCCGGGAAGCAUGCCCGUUUCAGAAUCAUUAAUAACAUCUCACCAUCUCUGGUGGUGGACGAUGGACAGUUUGAGCUCUUUUCAAGUUCAAUUGUCUGAAAAUGAUUGUACACGCUCCGGCUGUUGUCAGCCAGCUCUGGAGGUGCAACAAGAUUAAUUUCUACUCACCUCUUGAGCUGUCUAUUGCAAUGUCGGUGUUGUGCACUCCUCCCCUAAAAGGCUAUCCCGCUUAGCUGGAUAGUCUGUUAACCUGGUCUGAAAUUGGGCAAGACAACCCGCUGAACUUAA
This 365-nucleotide unclassified non-coding RNA is filed under the name uncultured fungus. RNAcentral's name for it is "sequence contains ITS1". The stretch from base 1 to 105 matches the Rfam family "5.8S ribosomal RNA", at positions 50 to 154 of the family's 154-position model. Lineage: Eukaryota; Fungi. The record is from RNAcentral.